Long non-coding RNA from Brassica napus (rape), 951 nucleotides. RefSeq lists it as uncharacterized. The record is from RefSeq and is a predicted model, not a curated record. Lineage: Eukaryota; Viridiplantae; Streptophyta; Magnoliopsida; Brassicales; Brassicaceae. The transcript has 2 exons.
AUUGCAGCUUCCCAACAAAGCCUGAGCCAGACCUUCAUUGUUCUCAACUACUCCAUCCUCAUCUUUAUUCUUCAAUUUCCUAAAACGCAUGAAUACCUUUUUCAAUUUUUUUUUGCUAAAACACAUUCGUACGUAGCUCAGCCUACUAAGAAAAUAAACUAUAUAAGCUCCCCUCUAAACUUAUAUAUCGAUUGAGGAGGUUCGCCCUAAAACUCUCCUAGACACGAGAAUCGAGGAGCCGCCGCAAGUUCCACAUCUUGACGCCGGUGGUGCCUCUGGCCGCCGGCGUCGACAUCUAAGCUCUUAUGUGUUCCUCCAGCUCCACUACGAUGUAAUUUUCUACUGUUUUCUCGCUAAAAGCUUCAUCCACUCUCAUCUCUUUGGUGCCUCUUCGAGUUCAGAUCUGGCCGUGGAAAGACCCGACUCUACUCAUAAGAGUUCGUCGCAGGACAACCGUGGUAUCCCAUCACUGGUUUACGCCUCCUCGCCGGAUUUAUCUGCGAACUCACCGUCUUUCGCCGCCGCUUCUCCAGAUACAUCGCUGUCUUUCGCUUCUCACCAUUACCAAGAAGUUACCAAAGCUCUCCUCUGUGAGACCUUCCCUGAAACCGGUUUUGCUCGUGGUGCGACUUUGGAUUUUCUAGAUUCUCUGGACCUUCAAACCUUCUCGCUUGGUCAGUGCUCGGUCUCUCCCAUGCCAUUUCUCCUUCAUCUGGGCUGAAUCUGCUUCCUUUCCGGCUGUUAUCCGGCUUCCUUUGUUCUCCUUUGGGAAGAUUAUGAUUAUUUAGUCUAUCUCCCGCUUGUAGCCCAAGUUUAUUGCGUUUCUCUGGCUGGUAAUAGAUCGAGCAGUCUCUUUGGACGAACUCCUAAACCUCUGUUAAUUACAACUGCAAUUCGUUUUGCCUUGGUAGUUCUCAAGUUUACCGUCUCUAGUUGGUCGUGUUUGUGUUU